AGAAGGAGAGGGCGAAGGAGAAGAUGAUGAGGAGGAGGAGGAGGAAGGCGAGGAGAAUGAAGUAGAUGGUCUUCCUGUGAAACGUCCAGCAGAAAAAGAGGAGGAAACCGAAGCUAAAAAACAGAAGACAGAAAAUGGAGAUUCCACAGAAGUCAAAGAGUCCGCCUAAUCCCCAACCCCCCCCAAAUCCUUUCCAGACAUUUUAUAGCUUAAGUGACAUGGUUGACUUUAAAUUGUAGAGAAACGUGCUUUAUAUCUGUACAUUUUACAGAAUGACUUUUUAUAUACUGUAAACCCACAUGCACUAGAGGACCUUUAACAUCAUCACACAGCCAAGAUAGCAGCUAAGGUUUUUUGUAAAAUGUUAUUUAUUGGUGCUUUGUUUGUACUGGUUGAUUGCUACAAUAAUAAAAAAACAAAAAAAAAAGA
This is a long non-coding RNA of Nanorana parkeri, 429 nucleotides long. RefSeq lists it as uncharacterized. Lineage: Eukaryota; Metazoa; Chordata; Amphibia; Anura; Dicroglossidae. The transcript is spliced from 2 exons. The record is from RefSeq and is a predicted model, not a curated record.